This 497-nucleotide ribosomal RNA is filed under the name uncultured bacterium. Its description in RNAcentral is "partial 16S ribosomal RNA". It matches the Rfam family "Bacterial small subunit ribosomal RNA", at positions 28 to 507 of the family's 1533-position model. The record is from RNAcentral.
GAUGAACGCUGGCGGCGUGCCUAAUACAUGCAAGUCGAGCGAACAGACGAGGAGCUUGCUCCUCUGACGUUAGCGGCGGACGGGUGAGUAACACGUGGAUAACCUACCUAUAAGACUGGGAUAACUUCGGGAAACCGGAGCUAAUACCGGAUAAUAUAUUGAACCGCAUGGUUCAAUAGUGAAAGACGGUUUUGCUGUCACUUAUAGAUGGAUCCGCGCCGCAUUAGCUAGUUGGUAAGGUAACGGCUUACCAAGGCAACGAUGCGUAGCCGACCUGAGAGGGUGAUCGGCCACACUGGAACUGAGACACGGUCCAGACUCCUACGGGAGGCAGCAGUAGAGAAUCUUCCGCAAUGGGCGAAAGCCUGACGGAGCAACGCCACGUGAGUGAUGAAGGUCUUCGGAUCGUAAAACUCUGUUAUUAGGGAAGAACAAAUGUGUAAGUAACUAUGCACGUCUUGACGGUACCUAAUCAGAAAGCCACGGCUAACUACGUG